AAGAUCAUACUUUUUGGGAUCAUUUCUAGAUUCUAUAUGCAACGUUUGACAACCAAACUUGCAAAGCAGAUCACCCCUGAUGAGGAUUUGUAGAUUACCUUCUUGAGCGUGAAGUCUUGUCUAGUUCAAUUUGAACAUGACUAUGAUGACCGUUUGAUGUACACACCAGUAGAUCGAUGGAAAGUAAUUAUUCUGAGGGAU
Molecule: small nucleolar RNA, 201 nt
Filed under: Intoshia linei
Lineage: Eukaryota; Metazoa; Orthonectida; Rhopaluridae
Description: Small nucleolar RNA U3
Rfam family: Small nucleolar RNA U3
About the family: Small nucleolar RNAs (snoRNAs) are involved in the processing and modification of rRNA in the nucleolus. There are two main classes of snoRNAs: the box C/D class, and the box H/ACA class.
Source: Rfam by way of RNAcentral